Molecule: non-coding RNA, 31 nt
Filed under: Rattus norvegicus (Norway rat)
Lineage: Eukaryota; Metazoa; Chordata; Mammalia; Rodentia; Muridae
Source: RNAcentral
CAGAAUGGUGGUCAAGUACCGGCUUCGGUUA